This 69-nucleotide transfer RNA is filed under the name Aerococcus urinaeequi. It matches the Rfam family "tRNA", at positions 5 to 66 of the family's 71-position model. Rfam says of the family: Transfer RNA (tRNA) molecules are approximately 80 nucleotides in length. Their secondary structure includes four short double-helical elements and three loops (D, anti-codon, and T loops). Further hydrogen bonds mediate the characteristic L-shaped molecular structure. tRNAs have two regions of fundamental functional importance: the anti-codon, which is responsible for specific mRNA codon recognition, and the 3' end, to which the tRNAs corresponding amino acid is attached (by aminoacyl-tRNA synthetases). tRNAs cope with the degeneracy of the genetic code in two manners: having more than one tRNA (with a specific anti-codon) for a particular amino acid; and 'wobble' base-pairing, i.e. permitting non-standard base-pairing at the 3rd anti-codon position. The record is from RNAcentral. Lineage: Bacteria; Bacillati; Bacillota; Bacilli; Lactobacillales; Aerococcaceae. RNAcentral also lists the same sequence under 1 other name.
CCAUGGCUCAACUGGAUAGAGUACUUGACUACGAAUCAAGCGGUUGCAGGUUCGAAUCCUGCUGGGUGC